AGAUUGAACGCUGGCGGCAGGCCUAACACAUGCAAGUCGAGCGGUAGAGAGGUGCUUGCAUCUCUUGAGAGCGGCGGACGGGUGAGUAAUGCCUAGGAAUCUGCCUAGUGGUGGGGGAUAACGUUCGGAAACGGACGCUAAUACCGCAUACGUCCUACGGGAGAAAGCGGGGGACCUUCGGGCCUCGCGCCAUUAGAUGAGCCUAGGUCGGAUUAGCUAGUUGGUGAGGUAAUGGCUCACCAAGGCGACGAUCCGUAACUGGUCUGGAGAGGAUGAUCAGUCACACGUGGAACUGAGACACGGU
RNAcentral lists this ribosomal RNA (304 nucleotides) under uncultured soil bacterium. RNAcentral's name for it is "bacterial SSU rRNA". It matches the Rfam family "Bacterial small subunit ribosomal RNA", at positions 26 to 330 of the family's 1533-position model. The record is from RNAcentral.